Molecule: small nuclear RNA, 90 nt
Filed under: Echinops telfairi (small Madagascar hedgehog)
Lineage: Eukaryota; Metazoa; Chordata; Mammalia; Afrosoricida; Tenrecidae
Source: RNAcentral
GAACUUCAGCAGCACAUAAACUAGAAUUGGAAUGAUACAGAGAAGAUUAGCAUGCCUCCGGCACAGAUUCGUGAACAAGCCUUAUUUUUA